Molecule: ribosomal RNA, 412 nt
Filed under: Streptomyces sp. ATCA10
Lineage: Bacteria; Bacillati; Actinomycetota; Actinomycetes; Kitasatosporales; Streptomycetaceae
Description: bacterial SSU rRNA
Rfam family: Bacterial small subunit ribosomal RNA
Source: RNAcentral
UAACGCGAAGAACCUUACCAAGGCUUGACAUAUACCGGAAAGCAUCAGAGAUGGUGCCCCCCUUGUGGUCGGUAUACAGGUGGUGCAUGGCUGUCGUCAGCUCGUGUCGUGAGAUGUUGGGUUAAGUCCCGCAACGAGCGCAACCCUUGUUCUGUGUUGCCAGCAUGCCCUUCGGGGUGAUGGGGACUCACAGGAGACUGCCGGGGUCAACUCGGAGGAAGGUGGGGACGACGUCAAGUCAUCAUGCCCCUUAUGUCUUGGGCUGCACACGUGCUACAAUGGCCGGUACAAAGAGCUGCGAAGCCGCGAGGCGGAGCGAAUCUCAAAAAGCCGGUCUCAGUUCGGAUUGGGGUCUGCAACUCGACCCCAUGAAGUCGGAGUUGCUAGUAAUCGCAGAUCAGCAUGCUGCGGA